Molecule: unclassified non-coding RNA, 148 nt
Filed under: Mycoplasma phocoeninasale
Lineage: Bacteria; Bacillati; Mycoplasmatota; Mollicutes; Mycoplasmatales; Mycoplasmataceae
Description: partial 16S-23S ribosomal RNA intergenic spacer
Source: RNAcentral
CUACGGAGUACACCUAGUUAUGGAAAACAUAUUCGUAUUCAGUUUUGAGAGAUCUAUCUCUCUUUUGUUCUUUGAAAACUGAAUAUCGACAUUGAAAAAUUAUAUUAAUUAAUAUUUCAAAGUUUAGAUCAACCUAUAGAAUAUAUAU